Molecule: long non-coding RNA, 1872 nt
Filed under: Olea europaea subsp. europaea
Lineage: Eukaryota; Viridiplantae; Streptophyta; Magnoliopsida; Lamiales; Oleaceae
Source: RNAcentral
CUACAAGUCAAUUUGUUGCAAUGAUUAUUCCAAUAAAGUUUUUGUGAAAAAAAUGUUUGUUGCUAAUACUAUUUUAAAAGUAUACACUACAAUAAAAAUUGCCUUUCGCAACAAGCAAAAAAUGUUGCGAAAACCUUCUGUAAUGCUCAGGCGUAUGUUGCGAUCUUCAAAGUUGCUGUAGAGUCAAAGGAUACUAAAACAAGCAAAGUGCGUUGCAAAAGGCAUCAAAUGAAUGCUGCUUUCAUCCAAAAUCAUUGUGACUAACACAAAUUCAAUGGGAAAAUCAGUCCACAUUAAUGUAUAAAAUUAAUCCAAACAUAUCCACACGCUAAAUAUCGGAGUAAUCUACAUCCUCUCCUGCCAGGCCACUAUAAUUAACUUCAGCCAGUAAAGGUUUUUGGUUAAAUUCUCCACUUCCUUAAGCAAACCACCAUCAUGAACAUUUGCCAGUAAAGGUUGAAUAUCCUUAGCCAUAGCUUUCAUCAAAGACAUCACUGCAUCAAGACAAUUUUUGUUUGAGAAUAUAUUAUAUGCUAUAGCAAAAGUAAACACUAGAAAACAGUAAACUAUGCAUGGUUUUUCGUAUUUGCUGCACUUUAUUUUGCAACAAGUCUAAGCACAAAAAACAGGAUGCUCACUAAUAAACCGAAAAGAAAGCAAUUAGAAUAUAAAGUGGUGUAAUACUAAUAAACAAAACUAGGCAGAAAACAUCACAAUGGUUACAAGAUUGCAAUCUCAAAUUACCCUCUUUUGUAUUUUUUCAAAGAUCUAUAUAGACAUGUCUAUUUUGGCAAAGCAUAAAAAUCAAGCAAAUCUCUUUUAAAGGGUCUGUAAGUUAUUCAUCUAAUGAUUCAAAGAUUUCCUUUCUUUCCGUUUAUCUGUAGUUUUCAAUAAACAAGAUAGCUAGGUAAUUGUUGCUUUUUGCAUUAUCUCAAGAUGUGAAAGAAACAGUCAAUGGCCUUUAAAUUGAAUGUCCAUAAUCUGCCACUUAAAGCGGAAAUCCAUGAGGAUUAUGUCAAUUAAAUAAUUCUAAACAUACCCCCACUUCAUACAUUAUAGGACCAAAAGUCAAUCUGUGUAUGAGAAGAUCAGAAUUAUACGACCUUUAAAAAAAUUGCACCCAUAAACUAGCUUUAUUAAUGGGUAAAAAGUGGAGACAAAAAAACAUAUUUUAGUAGCCCGAGGCCAUGUUUCUGGCACCAUAUGGCAAGUACUCUUCAAGACUUCCUUCCCUUAUCAACUCUCUCUUCAGUGUCAUUGUUGAAAGGACUGUUCACUCUCAGCAUUGAUUUUUCCCACCUAUUGGACCAAAGUAUUAGUUUUUUCAGCAUAUCUUCCAAUAUUUACAUCUUCCUAGCCAAUCAGUUGAUAUAAUCAACCUAUCCAUAGAAAAAAAAGAAACCAAUAAAAUAUAUACUUUUUUUGUUGCUGUAUGGAAAGUAAGAUUUUGUUAGCACCCCAAAUUAUACAUCAUGAAUAAAGACUAAAUCUCCAGAAUAAAUUCCAGUUUCUGCUGUGCAUGCAUUCUCACCUUCUCCAUUGCUAUUAACUGCAUAUUUAAAAUAGCAAACUCCAAGUCCAUAAACUUGAAUACCCAAUCAGCUCGUCAAUAAGUGAAGUGUUUUGCAAAACCAUAUCAUGAAAAAUUAUAUAAAUGACAAAGUACGUUAUUGACUUAAAUCCCAAAUUUGAAAAACAAGAACUGAACUUGUUCUAAAUUAUCCCCUGACAUUUAAUGAAAAAGAGAGGCUUAAUUUGCAGCCAAUUAUUUUUUCUUUUCUUCUCCAAUGUUCCCUGUCACUACGAAAAACAGAUAUGAAUUCUCCGCUCAGAAGUCAUACACAAUCGAAUCUGACCCUUAGUUUAUUUUUG